Non-coding RNA from Phasianus colchicus (ring-necked pheasant), 1788 nucleotides. NCBI's taxonomy places the organism in Eukaryota, Metazoa, Chordata, Aves, Galliformes, Phasianidae. The record is from RefSeq and is a predicted model, not a curated record.
CAGGAUGCCUCAAAAUAAUCGUACAAAAUAAUAUCUUGCUCUGGCUGUACAAUCCUGCUUUUGAGGAGUGAUUUUUGAGAUCUCUGCAGUCUUGGUCACCACUUUGGUCUACAGCCCCACUGAUUUGCUUGGGAUGUUAUUUUCAGCAGUGUCUCAGUUGCGUUUUAACCUUGGAAUUUACAGUGCUUUGUAAUGUAAUGUAUCCUACGUUGACUGGAUUGAUAGAGACUGUAAAACAGCAGUUGUCACUGGACAGUGCGGAACUUGGCCUUUCAGAUGUGACCUGGAAAAUGAGUCAUUUCUGGCAUGAGUAGAAAGGCUGAGUUACUGGGAUCAUUCACAGUGAUACAGGUUGAACUUCAGAACUCUGGAAACCAUCUUGGAAGAGGUUAAAUGAUGCCAUGAGAAAUACUGGCCAGCAUACAGCCAUUCUAAAAGCUCUGCUUUCUUUAGCCACGAACUCAUUUGCUUUGUAGCUUUCUGUUCACUUUCAGUGUCUGAUUUCGUAGUCGGUGAAGUUCAACAGCAGAACUCAGACCACAUCCUUUGUGCCACUCAUACUUCAAAAGGACAUGAAAUAGCUUUUACAUCUCCACCUCCCUACUAAAAUCUCUCUUACCUUUUGGUUUCUUGCAUUAGAAGGGAAGGAAUGUGCCUGAAACAGUCAGUUUUUUUCUUCUUUUCAUAUUGUUUGAUGCAUGAUGAGCUUGGCUAUCUGAUCUCAUUGUGUUACUGAAUAUGGCUUCAUUAGCCACAAAAAGUGCUAUCUACAAGGAAGAAAAUAUGCCCUCUGCUGACUUCAUAUGUGGCUAGAAUUUAAAAAGCUGCUGUCAGAGUACCACGAUGGAACUAUUGUUUGCAAAUAAAGCAAAUUAAAAUAAACAUCUUUUAUCAUAAGAAAGCAAUUAGUGUUGAUUCGCAGCUUUGCUUGGUUUUUCUUUCCUGACCUUGACUACAUCGUGAUGGUUUUGUGCUUCCUCGGACAGCUUCUACUUGCAUCUGCAUCGAUUAAACCUUGAUCUCAUUUAUUAUCUCAGGAAAUGGUCUCAAGGUCACAGGGCUGGAAAUUUAAUUAUGGUGGCAGUAUAUUAAGUGGCACAUUUAAAGAUGCUGAAUCGCAGUAAUUAAUUUUUUGGAUGGUGGUCUCUAGGGAACAGGUUUUCUCCACACUGGGUGUUUAGACAUCCAUCAUGGCCAUUCAGCUUGGCAGCUGUCUUUUAGCUUUAAACUGUGUCAUUAUUCAUCUUUUACAGCUGACUUUAAAAACACUAGACAACUAUAUUCUUUUUUAUUGUAAUAUAUGUCAGAUGCUUGUAUUAAGCUAUACUUCACCUUUGCUAUAAAACAUUAACAGAGGUUGCUAGUAGUUACCUGGCUGGCCUCUAAAUUGAGAUAACAAUUACCCUUCGCUGACAUCUAGUGUCAAGGCAUGAGAUAUAGCUGGAGUGCUGAAUCCAUUGGCCUGGAAAUCCUGCACUUCCCCAGUGAUUCAAGCUCACCCAAGAAGCUACAGCACUGGACAUAAUUAGUGGACACGAGGGAUUAAGUUGGCACUCAGUGUUGACUUUGUAGCAGCACUAGGUUAUUGAAUGAAAUGCAGCACUGCCAAGGUCUUAAAAAUCUUGUAAUGUUUAAUGAACGAAUGGUCAUUAAACUUGCUGGAUCAAAUAUUAGGCAAGAUGGAACUGGGAGGUAUUUAAUAAGGAGGUCUGAAAAUAUGAACUAAAUCACAUUCACUCAUUUAAAAAGCUGGCAAAAGUCCAGUCUAUUUCAAAAUUCUUCACUGCU